This 1224-nucleotide long non-coding RNA is filed under the name Anas platyrhynchos platyrhynchos (common mallard). Its description in RNAcentral is "lncRNA (ENSAPLG00000016522.1)". Lineage: Eukaryota; Metazoa; Chordata; Aves; Anseriformes; Anatidae. The record is from RNAcentral.
AUGGCUGGGAGGGAGCAAGUAAAGGGUGGAGUAAAGGCUCCUGCUGCUGCAGACCCGCUCCCAGUGCAGCUGCCCUGGCCUGGCUGGGCACAACGGGAUGAGGGCACAUCCCUGCCCUGCGGACAGGAGCAGGGGCAGGGGCAGGGGCAGGGCUUAGGGGCAGGAGCAGGGUCUCCAUCUCCUUCCCCAGGGCUCGCCCACGGCCAGGCUCCCAGCGCCUCGCUCGGGUCUCAGCGGGUCCCAUCCCGCGCACGGGGCUGCCGGGCCGGGGGUCCCCGCUGCGGGAGGGGGGAUGCGGGAGGGGCGCGGGUGGGAGACCCCCAGGGGACCUCCGUGCGCUCCCCGAGCAGGGGCUGGGCAGGAGCCCCCCGGGUGCCGCAGCAGCGCUCCACGGAGCGGGGCCAACUUCUCGCUGGCCGGGGGCUAAGGAUGCUGCCCCCAAACAACCCCCCCCCCCGUAACCUCCAUCCCUCCAUCCCUUCCUCCGUCCCUCCCCGGCGAUGCUCCGGGCCCCGCGCUCCGCCUCCCCGCGGGGCCGGGGCCGGGGCCGGGGCGGGCGGAGGGCGGGGAGGGGACCCGGGGCCGGGCGGGUCCCGCCGCCGCCCCGCUCCGAGCCGAGCCGAGCCGAGCCGAGCCGCUCCGCCGCCCCUCCAUGGCCCCGGCCGCGGCGGCGGCCCCCAGCGCCCGCCGCCCCCGGGGGACCGGCCCCGGCCCCGGCCCCGGCCCCGGUCCCGGUCCUGGUCCCGGUCCCGGUCCCGGUCCCGGUCCCGGCGGGAGGCGCAGGGCUCGGCGGCCGCGGGUGAGUGCGGGCUGGGGGCGGCGGGGAACGGGGCCGGGGGUCGGGGGGAGCCGGGGGGGAACGGGGGGGACCGGGGGAGAGCCGGGGAUGCGGGCACGGAGGGGGCGCGGGGCGCACGGACGCACGGACAGGGGGCGCACAGACGGACGCGCGUCCCCCUCCCCGGGCACCGGCACCCACGGGUGGGCACGGACACGCGUGGGAACGCUGAGACGAGGGGACCAGGGUGCUUGGAGCAAGAGCAAGCACACACACACACACUCACAUGCUCACACACACGCUCACACUCACGUGCAAGCACCCAGCCACGCACCCUUGCACACCCAGGAGCGCCGGCUGGAGUACCCAAACCCCAGCACUUUUUUUUUGCAGUUCCCCGAGUCUCCUCGCAGAGGGGUUUACGUGAGGGCUGGUCACGGAGCUAA